Molecule: ribosomal RNA, 460 nt
Filed under: uncultured bacterium
Lineage: Bacteria
Description: partial 16S ribosomal RNA
Rfam family: Bacterial small subunit ribosomal RNA
Source: RNAcentral
GAUGAGCGCUGGCGGCGUGCCUAAUACAUGCAAGUCGAGCGGUAAGGCCCCUUCGGGGGUACACGAGCGGCGGACGGCUGAGUAACACGUAGGAACGUACCCCAAAGUGAGGGAUAACUGCUCGAAAGAGUAGCUAAUACAGCAUGUGAUCCACGGAUUAAAGCUUUAUGCGCUUUGGGAACGGCCUGCGUCCGAUUAGCUUGUUGGUGAGGUGAUAGCUCACCAAGGCGAUGAUCGGUAGCUGGUCUGAGAGGAUGAUCAGCCAGACUGGGACUGAGACACGGCCCAGACUCCUACGGGAGGCAGCAGUAGGGAAUUUUCCACAAUGGGCGAAAGCCUGAUGGAGCAACGCCGCGUGCAGGAUGAAUGCCUUAGGGUUGUAAACUGCUUUUAAUAGUGACGAUUAUGACGGUAACUAUUGAAUAAGGACCUGCUAACUACGUGCCAGCCGCCGCGGUAA